RNAcentral lists this long non-coding RNA (1545 nucleotides) under Rhinopithecus bieti (black snub-nosed monkey). RNAcentral describes it as "lncRNA (ENSRBIG00000045793.1)". The record is from RNAcentral. Lineage: Eukaryota; Metazoa; Chordata; Mammalia; Primates; Cercopithecidae.
UGUCUAUUUUAUUCACUACAGUGGAUAAUUCCAGAGCCCAAAACUCAAUAGUAAGUGGUUGAGUAAGUGAACGAAUGAGCAAGUGAGCACAUUAUCUAGAAACAAGCACAUCUUUCCUUGGAUACCAUGAUCCUCUCAGAAUACCAGAUGAUUAAAAUCUAUUGUUAGAAGACAGGAAAAUCCAGCCUUCUGUGUUUCCACGGAACAACUCUCUGCUUUGUCCAGUUGCUUGUUCCCUCCAUAGGGCCAAGAAAUACUGUCCCUUUCUCCAGUCCAUAUUCCUCUGCCACAGGCCCGGAUCUAGCUUCCUUGUUAUAAGAUGAUUUUCGAUAUUAAUUUUACAAUUACUGGUUGGUCACAGCUUUGAAGAUUCUACUUCUCCAAGUUAUUCCAGUUCUAGAAAAGAAUUCUCUAGCUUCAGCUCACCGCGAGGACCCCUUGAGAGGAGUCAGCCAUUUUACCCUCAAGAAGCAAGGGGGGAAUGAUCACUGGUAUAUCUCACAGCAGCAAAUAGAUGUCAUCGCCCAGGAGUAAUACACACCCUUCUCCUCAUGCCACUGGUCAGAGGUAAUCUCAUGGAAAUGUGCCAGGAAAAGAAGCCAACUUCAUAUUGAUAAACACUGCUUUCCUCAAAUAAUCUGACACCCAGCAACUGUUUUUCUCAGCAUCUUGCACUUUGGGAAAUGCGAUCUGUUUCCUUUUAUCUAAUGCCUGAAUCAGCAAAUGGAGAGAAGUAGGAAUGGAGAGAGAGAAUGGUCAUGCUUCAGAUUGGUACCACAAAGGUGUCUUGAGAGGAGAAAUUAAUGAUCUAUUUAAAAUGAAGCUGGGCUGGGGAAAGUCAAAAUGUCUACAUAUAUACUAUACUUAUUUCUCUCCGAGAAAUUUCUGUGUCUGAGACCCAAAACAUGGAACCAGAUGACCACAUGAGGAAGGACCCAGGCCACAUGUGUGAAGGACAAAUUGAAGGAAGCCAAGACUCAGCAUCUGGAGUUUGUCAGCCUGCUUACCAGGAGGAGGCAAGGGGCCUACAAGGGGGAUGCUGAUAUGCCAGGAAAAUCUGCAUUCGAACAAAGAGAGGUUUUGGAUGCUUUAUAGCAGCUUUAUAUGAUAGUAGACUAGUAACAGAACAAACAUUGGUACUGGACUUAAUAAGUGCAUGGAAAGAAAGGUCACCAUCAAAAAUGAUAAGGUUUUAUGCUCUUGAAAAGAAGCUAUUAUAACUAAUAUUUACUUACUAUUCUCCAAGUUCACUGAAGUCUUUACCCAAAUGUUAUCACAGUGGAAACACCCUCGCUGAAAUGCUACUCAACUCUCAUCUGCCUGUGUGUUCUUACUAUCUCUUAUUUUUCUUCAUUAUCCUCAGUAUAACUUUCUGAUGUAUACAUUUAAUAAUGGUCUAUCCUCUGUCUUCCUCACUAGAAUGUAAGCUGCGUGAGCCCAGUGAUGUCUGUGUUGUUUACUGUGGUCUCUAACAAUUUGGAUAUAUAAUAUGAGGUGAGUAAAUAUAUGUGAAUUGUGAAACAUUGAUGAAUGGACAGAUGAACU